Molecule: ribosomal RNA, 438 nt
Filed under: uncultured bacterium
Lineage: Bacteria
Description: bacterial SSU rRNA
Rfam family: Bacterial small subunit ribosomal RNA
Source: RNAcentral
GACGAACGCUGGCGGCGUGCUUAACACAUGCAAGUCGAACGGAAAGGCCCUGCUUUUGUGGGGUGCUCGAGUGGCGAACGGGUGAGUAACACGUGAGUAACCUGCCCUUGACUUUGGGAUAACUUCAGGAAACUGGGGCUAAUACCGGAUAGGAGCUCCUGCUGCAUGGUGGGGGUUGGAAAGUUUCGGCGGUUGGGGAUCGGACUCGCGGCUUAUCAGCUUGUUGGUGGGGUAGUGGCUUACCAAGGCUUUGACGGGUAGCCGGCCUGAGAGGGUGACCGGCCACAUUGGGACUGAGAUACGGCCCAGACUCCUACGGGAGGCAGCAGUGGGGAAUAUUGCACAAUGGGCGGAAGCCUGAUGCAGCAACGCCGCGUGCGGGAUGACGGCCUGGUGUAACGACUUCGUCCUCGUGACGAAGACGUGAGUGACGGUAAU